RNAcentral lists this ribosomal RNA (482 nucleotides) under Jeotgalibacillus sp. HSS-7018. RNAcentral's name for it is "bacterial SSU rRNA". It matches the Rfam family "Bacterial small subunit ribosomal RNA", at positions 1 to 480 of the family's 1533-position model. Lineage: Bacteria; Bacillati; Bacillota; Bacilli; Caryophanales; Caryophanaceae. The record is from RNAcentral.
UAGAGUUUGAUCCCUGGCUCAGGAUGAACGCUGGCGGCGUGCCUAAUACAUGCAAGUCGAGCGAACUGAUUAGAAGCUUGCUUCUAUGACGUUAGCGGCGGACGGGUGAGUAACACGUGGGCAACCUGCCUGUAAGACUGGGAUAACUUCGGGAAACCGAAGCUAAUACCGGAUAGGAUCUUCUCCUUCAUGGGAGAUGAUUGAAAGAUGGUUUCGGCUAUCACUUACAGAUGGGCCCGCGGUGCAUUAGCUAGUUGGUGAGGUAACGGCUCACCAAGGCAACGAUGCAUAGCCGACCUGAGAGGGUGAUCGGCCACACUGGGACUGAGACACGGCCCAGACUCCUACGGGAGGCAGCAGUAGGGAAUCUUCCGCAAUGGACGAAAGUCUGACGGAGCAACGCCGCGUGAGUGAUGAAGGCCUUCGGGUCGUAAAACUCUGUUGUUAGGGAAGAACAAGUACGAGAGUAACUGCUCGUACCU